CCUACGGGGGGCAGCAGUGGGGAAUAUUGCACAAUGGGGGAAACCCUGAUGCAGCAACGCCGCGUGAGUGAAGAAGUCAUUCGUGAUGUAAAGCUCUAUCAGCAGGGAAGAAAAUGACGGUACCUGAGUAAGAAGCCCCGGCUAACUACGUGCCAGCAGCCGCGGUAAUACGUAGGGGGCAAGCGUUGUCCGGAAUUACUGGGUGUAAAGGGAGCGUAGGCGGGAGGAUAAGUUGAAUGUGAAAUCCAUGGGCUCAACCCAUGGCUGCGUUCAAAACUGUUCUUCUUGAGUGAAGUAGAGGCAGG
RNAcentral lists this ribosomal RNA (305 nucleotides) under uncultured bacterium. RNAcentral describes it as "bacterial SSU rRNA". It matches the Rfam family "Bacterial small subunit ribosomal RNA", at positions 338 to 661 of the family's 1533-position model. The record is from RNAcentral.